GCCCAUUGACUAUGUUGCAUUCAUAGUUGCAGUGCGGAUAGAUUGAGAUAUGAUAUGGCUCAGAGAUUGUAACUUCAAGAGUUCUCAAAUGCCCCUGAGACACCCUUGGAAUCUUGACAGAAACACAGAACCUGAGUCUGCUGUCCCUGACCUGCUGAAUUCAAAUUUUCACUGUCACAAAAUCCACAGGUAAUUCUGAUGCAUUUUGAAAUAUUGGGAGCUAUGGCUAGAGAACCUUUCACUGAUACUCCUGAAUUACCUCGCCU
Molecule: long non-coding RNA, 266 nt
Filed under: Heterocephalus glaber (naked mole-rat)
Lineage: Eukaryota; Metazoa; Chordata; Mammalia; Rodentia; Bathyergidae
Description: lncRNA (ENSHGLG00000025420.2)
Source: RNAcentral